RNAcentral lists this ribosomal RNA (254 nucleotides) under uncultured bacterium. Its description in RNAcentral is "partial 16S ribosomal RNA". It matches the Rfam family "Bacterial small subunit ribosomal RNA", at positions 524 to 776 of the family's 1533-position model. The record is from RNAcentral.
UACGUAGGGUGCAAGCGUUGUCCGGAAUUAUUGGGCGUAAAGAGCUCGUAGGCGGUUUGUCGCGUCUGCUGUGAAAACUCGGGGCUUAACCCCGGGCCUGCAGUGGGUACGGGCUGACUAGAGUGCGGUAGGGGGAGACUGGAAUUCCUGGUGUAGCGGUGGAAUGCGCAGAUAUCAGGAGGAACACCGGUGGCGAAGGCGGGUCUCUGGGCAGUAACUGACGCUGAGGAGCGAAAGCGUGGGGAGCGAACAGG